This 385-nucleotide ribosomal RNA is filed under the name uncultured bacterium. RNAcentral's name for it is "bacterial SSU rRNA". It matches the Rfam family "Bacterial small subunit ribosomal RNA", at positions 30 to 417 of the family's 1533-position model. The record is from RNAcentral.
AUUGAACGCUGGCGGCAUGCCUUACACAUGCAAGUCGAACGGCAGCGCGGGGCAACCUGGCGGCGAGUGGCGAACGGGUGAGUAACAUACCGGAACAUACCCUAGAGUGGGGGAUAACGUAGCGAAAGUUACGCUAAUACCGCAUACGCACUAAGGUGGAAAGUGGGGGAUCUUCGGACCUCAUGCUCAUGGAGUGGCCGAUAUCUGAUUAGCUAGUUGGUGAGGUAAAGGCUCACCAAGGCGACGAUCAGUAGCUGGUUUGAGAGAACGACCAGCCACACUGGAACUGAGACACGGUCCAGACUCCUACGGGAGGCAGCAGUGGGGAAUUUUGGACAAUGGGGGCAACCCUGAUCCAGCAAUGCCGCGUGAGUGAAGAAGGCCU